RNAcentral lists this ribosomal RNA (530 nucleotides) under Bifidobacterium angulatum. RNAcentral describes it as "bacterial SSU rRNA". It matches the Rfam family "Bacterial small subunit ribosomal RNA", at positions 157 to 699 of the family's 1533-position model. Lineage: Bacteria; Bacillati; Actinomycetota; Actinomycetes; Bifidobacteriales; Bifidobacteriaceae. The record is from RNAcentral.
CGGGUGGUAAUGCCGGAUGCUCCAGUCCAUCGCAUGGUGGUCUGGGAAAGAUUUCAUCGGUAUGGGAUGGGGUCGCGUCCUAUCAGGUAGUCGGCGGGGUAACGGCCCACCGAGCCUACGACGGGUAGCCGGCCUGAGAGGGCGACCGGCCACAUUGGGACUGAGAUACGGCCCAGACUCCUACGGGAGGCAGCAGUGGGGAAUAUUGCACAAUGGGCGCAAGCCUGAUGCAGCGACGCCGCGUGCGGGAUGGAGGCCUUCGGGUUGUAAACCGCUUUUGUCGGGGAGCAAGCCUUCGGGUGAGUGUACCCUUCGAAUAAGCACCGGCUAACUACGUGCCAGCAGCCGCGGUAAUACGUAGGGUGCAAGCGUUAUCCGGAAUUAUUGGGCGUAAAGAGCUCGUAGGCGGUUCGUCGCGUCCGGUGUGAAAGUCCAUCGCUUAACGGUGGAUCUGCGCCGGGUACGGGCGGGCUGGAGUGCGGUAGGGGAGACUGGAAUUCCCGGUGUAACGGUGGAAUGUGUAGAUAUCG